AAGGCGACGAUGCAUAGCCCGAGUUGAGAGACUGAUCGGCCACAUUGGGGACUGAGACACGGCCCAAACUCCUACGGGAGGCAGCAGUAGGGAAUCUUCCACAAUGGACGCAAGUCUGAUGGAGCAAAUGCCGCGUGAGUGAAGAAGGUUUUCGGAUCGUAAAAAGCUCUGUUGUUGGUGAAGAAGGAUAGAGGUAGUAACUGGCCCUUUAUUUGACGGUAAUCGACCCAGAAAGUCACGGGCUAACUACGUGCCCAGCAGCCGCGGUAAAU
RNAcentral lists this ribosomal RNA (272 nucleotides) under uncultured Lactobacillus sp. RNAcentral's name for it is "partial 16S ribosomal RNA". It matches the Rfam family "Bacterial small subunit ribosomal RNA", at positions 270 to 525 of the family's 1533-position model. The record is from RNAcentral. Lineage: Bacteria; Bacillati; Bacillota; Bacilli; Lactobacillales; Lactobacillaceae.